Molecule: ribosomal RNA, 252 nt
Filed under: uncultured bacterium
Lineage: Bacteria
Description: partial 16S ribosomal RNA
Rfam family: Bacterial small subunit ribosomal RNA
Source: RNAcentral
UACGUAGGGGGCAAGCGUUAUCCGGAAUUACUGGGCGUAAAGGGUGCGUAGGCGGUUUUACAAGUUGAAGUUUUAAACUAUGGGCUUAACCCAUAUCAGGCUUCAAAACUGUAAGACUUGAGUGCAGGAGAGGAAAGUGGAAUUCCCGGUGUAGCGGUGAAAUGCGUAGAUAUCGGGAGGAAUACCGGUGGCGAAGGCGACUUUCUGGACUGUAACUGACGCUGAGGCACGAAAGCGUGGGUAGCAAACAGG